This 337-nucleotide long non-coding RNA is filed under the name Glycine max (soybean). RNAcentral's name for it is "long non-coding RNA (GMAX_LNC003708)". The record is from RNAcentral. Lineage: Eukaryota; Viridiplantae; Streptophyta; Magnoliopsida; Fabales; Fabaceae.
AUGAUGGAGGUCCUGCUUGGGAGAGAGGUAGACUUGGUGGAUGGAAAAGAGACUGCAGCACUAACCGCAGCAGCCAUUGGUAAAAACUAGCUAAGGGAGAGAGAAAUGUUGAAUGAAGUGAUGAAGAAUGUGCAAUAGGCAAGGAAGUGAUCAGUAUGAAUGAAUGUUGUUGUUUUGAUUGCACAGACAAGAGAGGAGUAUAAGAUUUGAGUGGACGAGAUUUGGAAGCAAAUGAAGUGGCGGAUAUUAUAUUAGGAUAAGUGUACGUGGUGUGACACUGUGAUGGUAUCUCCGACUUUCAAAUAUCUCCUUACAUAUAAUAUUAUGUAUGUUGCUU